GCACUAGUGGUUUAAUGGUAAAAUGCAAGCUUCCCAAGCUUGACAUCCGGGUUCGAUUCCCGGCUGGUGCA
RNAcentral lists this transfer RNA (71 nucleotides) under Patescibacteria group bacterium. RNAcentral describes it as "tRNA-Gly". It matches the Rfam family "tRNA". Rfam says of the family: Transfer RNA (tRNA) molecules are approximately 80 nucleotides in length. Their secondary structure includes four short double-helical elements and three loops (D, anti-codon, and T loops). The record is from RNAcentral.